GACGAACGCUGGCGGCGUGCUUAAUACAUGCAAGUCAACGACUUUUAGAGUAGCAAUAUUCUAAAGGAAGUGGCGCACGGGUGAGUAACACGUAGGUAAUCUGCCUUCAGGACUGACACAACUCGUCGAAAGACGGGCUAAUAUCAGAUAAUGCAGCGGCUCCGCAUGGAGACAGUUGUUAAAGUACAAGCGCCUGAAGAUGAGCCUGCGGUCCAUUAGCUAGUUGGUAGAGUAACAGCCUACCAAGGCAACGAUGGAUAGCUGGUCUGAGAGGAUGAUCAGCCACACUGGAACUGAGACACGGUCCAGACUCCUACGGGAGGCAGCAGUAAGGAAUAUUGCUCAAUGGCCGAAAGGCUGAAGCAGCAACGCCGCGUGAAGGAUGAAUGGCCUUUGGCCUGUAAACUUCUAGUAAAAAGGGAAAACAAAUACAAGGCAUGUCCUGAUUUGAUUGUACCUUUGAAGUAAG
RNAcentral lists this ribosomal RNA (469 nucleotides) under uncultured bacterium. RNAcentral describes it as "bacterial SSU rRNA". It matches the Rfam family "Bacterial small subunit ribosomal RNA", at positions 28 to 490 of the family's 1533-position model. The record is from RNAcentral.